RNAcentral lists this ribosomal RNA (395 nucleotides) under uncultured bacterium. RNAcentral describes it as "partial 16S ribosomal RNA". It matches the Rfam family "Bacterial small subunit ribosomal RNA", at positions 523 to 918 of the family's 1533-position model. The record is from RNAcentral.
AUACGUAGGGGGCGAGCGUUGUCCGGAAUGAUUGGGCGUAAAGGGCGCGUAGGCGGCCCGGUAAGUCUGGAGUGAAAGUCCUGUUUUUAAGAUGGGAAUUGCUUUGGAUACUGUCGGGCUUGAGUGCAGGAGGGGUAAGUGGAAUUCCCAGUGUAGCGGUGAAAUGCGUAGAGAUUGGGAGGAACACCAGUGGCGAAGGCGACUUCGUGGCACAAUACGAACGCUCAUGUUCGAAAGCUAGGGUAGCGAACGGGUGUAGUUCCCCCGGUAGUCCUAGCCGUAAACGAGGGAUACUAGGUGUGGGUGUCGCAGGGCAUCCGUGCCGCAGCUAACGCGUUAAGUAUCCCGCCUGGGGACUACGGUCGCAAGACUGAAACUCAAAGGAAUUGGCGGGG